RNAcentral lists this ribosomal RNA (491 nucleotides) under uncultured bacterium. Its description in RNAcentral is "partial 16S ribosomal RNA". It matches the Rfam family "Bacterial small subunit ribosomal RNA", at positions 29 to 506 of the family's 1533-position model. The record is from RNAcentral.
AGUGAACGCUGGCGGUAGGCCUAACACAUGCAAGUCGAACGGCAGCACAGUAAGAGCUUGCUCUUACGGGUGGCGAGUGGCGGACGGGUGAGGAAUACAUCGGAAUCUACUUUUUCGUGGGGGAUAACGUAGGGUAACUUACGCUAAUACCGCAUACGACCUACGGGUGAAAGCAGGGGAUCUUCGGACCUUGCGCGAUUGAAUGAGCCGAUGUCGGAUUAGCUAGUUGGCGGGGUAAAGGCCCACCAAGGCGACGAUCCGUAGCUGGUCUGAGAGGAUGAUCAGCCACACUGGAACUGGGAAACGGUCCAGACCCCUACGGGAGGCAGCAGGGGGGAAUAUUGGACAAUGGGCGCAAGCCUGAUCCAGCCAUACCGCGUGGGUGAAGAAGGCCUUCGGGUUGUAAAGCCCUUUUGUUGGGAAAGAAAAGCAGCAGGUUAAAACCCCGCUGUUCUGACGGGACCCAAAGAAUAAGCACCGGCUAACUUCGG